AUCGCUUCUCGGCCUUUUGGCUAAGAUCAAGUGUAGUAUCAAAGUCAUUCAGGUUGUUGGCAGAAUUCAGUUCCCCAUGGUUGUAGGACUGAAGUUUCCUUUUCCCUGCUGGCUGUCAUCUGAAAUUCAUU
RNAcentral lists this small nuclear RNA (131 nucleotides) under Cervus hanglu yarkandensis (Yarkand deer). RNAcentral describes it as "U2 spliceosomal RNA (ENSCHYG00000008407.1)". It matches the Rfam family "U2 spliceosomal RNA". From Rfam's summary of the family: U2 is a small nuclear RNA (snRNA) component of the spliceosome (involved in pre-mRNA splicing). Complementary binding between U2 snRNA (in an area lying towards the 5' end but 3' to hairpin I) and the branchpoint sequence (BPS) of the intron results the bulging out of an unpaired adenosine, on the BPS, which initiates a nucleophilic attack at the intronic 5' splice site, thus starting the first of two transesterification reactions that mediate splicing. Lineage: Eukaryota; Metazoa; Chordata; Mammalia; Artiodactyla; Cervidae. The record is from Rfam by way of RNAcentral.